Dicentrarchus labrax (European seabass) is the source of this 2540-nucleotide RNA transcript. It is a transcript of the gene named zinc finger DHHC-type palmitoyltransferase 23b, with no coding region annotated. The record is from RefSeq and is a predicted model, not a curated record. The transcript is spliced from 6 exons. NCBI's taxonomy places the organism in Eukaryota, Metazoa, Chordata, Actinopteri, Moronidae.
CCUCCUCAUUUGACGUCAGGAGGAACAACCGUCGGGGGAGGAAGAGCUACAGGACGUCUUCCUCAACAACCUGGACGUCGAGGAGUCCGGACCCUUGAACCACAGACGGAUUCAGCUCCAGCUGCUGUUAUUCUGGUAACUUCCACAACGAGAAGCUCCGACGAUAAAACUCACCGGAUACGACCGCAGUCAGCAGGAGGAAGACUUCCGGCGGUGGGGGAAUCGUUGCAGUCGAUAUUUACUCGAAAGCAUCGGCAUGUAGCAGCUCGGUGUUCAGGCUGUAAGGCUGUCCGUCAUGAAGAAGCGAGCCACCAAGGUGCCGGAGGCGGAGGAGAUCUUGUGCUGCUGUGAAUAUGUGAACAGACUCGGAGAGCGCAGCCAUGUAGCAGCCUGCUGCUGUGACUGCGAAGACCUGGAUGACGCCUGUGACAGGUUUCUGAAGAGGGAGCCUCAGAAGGCUGAAUCCUUGGCACAGGUGGCUGCAGUUGUUUCAGACCGCGUUCGUGUGCCUUGGCUGUGGGGUGGAGCCCGAAGAGUGGAGCUGUCCGUCAUCCCUCCUCUUAUUCUCCUUCCUGUCCUGCUCCACCUCGCUGCCCUCCACUUCCUGCUCGGCAUCGUGGUUCUGACAGCUCUACCCGGGCUGGUGCUGUGGUACUACUAUUUCACCCACCGCAAGAAAGGACGGACACUCUUCUUCCUGAGCUUGGCCCUCUUCUCCCUGGGGUACAUGUACUACUUGUUCAUCACCGAGGUGCUUCCAAGUGGGAAUGUUGGUCAGGUGGAGGUAACCGUGGUAACCAUAGGGGUCAUACUCACCCUGGUAGCCCUUAUCCACACCAAGAGAGAACCCGGCAUCGUGCGGCCACACCAAGAGUCCGUCCACAGCACAGUGACGUAUUACAGCCCUCUGGCAGACAGAGACCCUGCCGUCAACGGGGGGAGGCAGGAUGUGACGAUGACGGUAGCCAACCGGGCGAUAUCGUCGUUGGAGCAGGCGGUGGAGCUGAAGGAAAGUAGCCGGAGGAACUGGUGUCCGGUGUGCAGGGUGGUGCGGCCCCCAAGGGCGGGACAUUGUCGGAUCUGUGGUGUCUGCGUGCUGCGUCUCGACCACCACUGUGUCUGGAUAAACAGCUGUGUGGGGCAGGCCAAUCACCGCAGCUUCCUGCUUACACUCGUCCUCUUCCUGUUGACGUCCCUGUACGGGAUCAGCCUGGUACUGCAGAGUGUGUGUCCGAAACAACACCACCUCACUGCCCUGUUCUACUGCCCGGGGGUCUACGACCAGUACAGCACUGCACUUUGCUUCACCUGUGCGUGGUACAGCAGUAUUGUGACUGGAGGGCUGCUACACCUGCUGAUGGUGCAGGUGAUCAACGUGAGCUACAACGUGACCGAGCGUGAGGCACGCAUCGCCCUGCGAGACAAAACCGCUCGCAGCGCCUUCUGGGGACUCGUUGUGGAUACAGGCGUCUACUCCAGAGGUUUCCGUGGGAACUGGGCAGAGUUCAUGACCAUGGGAGACAAACUGAACCCUCCCUCUCCAACCCCAACGGAUCUGGUGUAAGAGACUGUUACGCAACUGAUUUAAAAAAUGAGUUUGGAGCUUAUGGCUGCUGUUCUGUUUAUGUCCAUUGGAUGGCAGCAUGGCUCCUCUCACUCAGAUUCAACGUUAAUGGCUGGCCUCUGCUUGGCAGCAAACCUGAGAGCUGCCACAACGGAUAUCAAUGGGUUACUGCAACUACUGAGUUGCCCUGACUUUGACACAGCAAUAACUACAAACCCCAAUAAGAUACAUUUACUGCCAUAAAUGUCACUGACAACUGGCAUCUCGUCUAUGCAGCUAUAUCCAAUCACUGACCUUUAAUCUCCUUCCACUGCUGCCUCAUUUCACUUCUCACCAGUCUCUCAGCCAGGGACGUUGUUUCAGCUAAAGCCGAGGCAUGGCAGUGGAUGUAAUAUGCUACUGAGAAUGUUUUAAUGGACAUAUAGCUCUCUCUCACAUUCACAAUGCCUAAUGUGCCUUGCUGGGAGUCGACAUACAAGAAAAAUGUGAGAUUGAGUAAUCUGUUGACGUCUCUGGAGUUGGUCAGUCCGUCUACAUUACGUGGGCUGAACGUCAUUUCAAGGAGGAUCUUUCUGCACUCAACACCUCCCUUGUCCUCCACAAACACUCAUCCACAGUGUUGACCUUGUGAAAUGUGUCAUGGAUAUUUAUCACAAAUGAAAAAAUGAAACAUCUCAGCAGAAGCCACAUAAUCAGGCUAAUUAAAGUACAGUGUGUCCUUGCAUUCAACAUAAUGAAUGAUUGGGUAGUCUGAAUAUGAGUAGUAACUUUUCAAAAUGAACCAAACAGUUCUUGAAAUAUGAAAAAAAAAGCAAAUAAACCAAUACACAUUAAUGUUGAGAGGUUUCAGUGCUUUCCACUACUGCUGCUUUUAUUAGUCCACAAAGUGAUUGAAAGCUUUUUUUGGAAUCCUAAAACUUGUUUUGGUCCAGUUGUGUGUUUUAUUUAUUUAUAUUAAAUAAAUGUGAGAAAUGUG